Molecule: ribosomal RNA, 1947 nt
Filed under: metagenome
Description: bacterial LSU rRNA
Rfam family: Bacterial large subunit ribosomal RNA
Source: RNAcentral
UACUCCCGAGAGACCGAUAGCGAACCAGUACCGUGAGGGAAAGGUGAAAAGAACCUCGAACAGAGGAGUGAAAUAGACCCUGAACCCGUCUGCCUACAAGCGGUCGGAGCAACGUAAGUUGUGACGGCGUGCCUUUUGCAUAAUGAACCUACGAGUUACUUUCUCCGGCAAGGUUAAGUAUUUCAGAUACGGAGCCGAAGCGAAAGCGAGUCUGAACAGGGCGACAUAGUCGGAGGGAGUAGACGCGAAACCAAGUGAUCUACCCAUGGUCAGGUUGAAGGUUAGGUAACACUAACUGGAGGACCGAACCGGUAAGCGUUGAAAAGCUUUCGGAUGAACUGUGGGUAGGGGUGAAAGGCUAAUCAAACUUGGAGAUAGCUCGUACUCCCCGAAAUGCAUUUAGGUGCAGCCUUUAUUUAGUAUAGCAUGAGGUAGAGCGACUGAUUGGAUGCGAGGGCUUCACCGCCUAUCAAGUCCAGAUAAACUCCGAAUGCGUGCUAUAUAUUGAUAAGGAGUGAGGGCGCGGGUGCUAAGGUCCGCGUCCGAGAGGAGAAGAAUCCAGACCAUCAGCUAAGGUCCCCAAAUAACAGUUAAGUUGAACUAACGAAGUCAGACUGCAGAGACAGCUAGGAUGUUGGCUUGGAAGCAGCCAUUCAUUUAAAGAGUGCGUAACAGCUCACUAGUCGAGGAGUUUGGCGUGGAUAAUACUCGGGCAUAAACUGUUUACCGAAGCUAUGGAUCCAGAGUAAUGGAUGGUAGGGGAGCAUUCCAGUGGCGUUGAAGGUGAGGGAUAACCCUUGCUGGAGCAGCUGGAAAAGCAAAUGUAGGUAUAAGUAACGAUAAAGGAAGUGAGAAACUUCCUCGCCGAAAGACUAAGGUUUCCUGAUCAACGUUAAUCGGAUCAGGGUAAGUCGGGACCUAAGGAUAAGCCGAACGGCGAUUCCGAUGGAAGAAUGGUUUAAUAUUCCCAUACUACUUUAUAGAGCGAUGUGGAGACGGAGAAGUGACAGUCCUGCCAUCUGACGGAAUAGAUGGUUAAAGGGUGUAGACGUCGAUCAUGGUAGGCAAAUCCGCCGUGAGAGUCGAACCUGAUAGUAUGCCGAGUACUUGUACAAGGCAAUAUGGAUGUAAACAGGCUCCCUAGAAAAUCCGCUAAGCAUAUCUAUAGAGUACCCGUACCGUAAACGGACACACGUAGUUGGGUUGAGAAUACUGAGGCGCUCGAGUGAUUCACGGUUAAGGAACUAGGCAAAUUGACCCUGUAACUUCGGGAUAAAGGGUCCCAACGAGAGUUGGGCGCAGAGAAUAGGUCCAGGCAACUGUUUAACAAAAACACAGGGCUGUGCCAAAUUGAAAGAUUACGUAUACAGCCUGACACCUGCCCGGUGCUGGAAGGUUAAGAGGAGAUGUCAUCGCAAGAGAAGCAUUGAAUUGAAGCCCCAGUAAACGGCGGCCGUAACUAUAACGGUCCUAAGGUAGCGAAAUUCCUUGUCGGGUAAGUUCCGACCUGCACGAAUGGUGUAAUGAUCUGGACGCUGUCUCAACCGUGAGCUCAGUGAAAUUGUAGUAUCGGUGAAGAUGCCGAUUACCCGCGAUGGGACGAAAAGACCCCGUGAACCUUUACUAUAGCUUAACAUUGAAUUUGGGUAAUUGAUGUGUAGGAUAGGCCGGAGACUUUGAAGCAGGUACGCCAGUAUUUGUGGAGUCGCUGUUGAAAUACGGCCCUUUGAUUAUUUGAGUUCUAACUCGUAGAUGCGAGGACACUGUUUGGUGGGUAGUUUGACUGGGGUGGUCGCCUCCAAAAGUGUAACGGAGGCUUCUAAAGGUGCCCUCAGGACGAUUGGUAACCGUCCGUAGAGUGUAAUGGCAUAAGGGCGCUUGACUGGGAGACAGACAAGUCGAUCAGGUAGGAAACUAGAGCAUAGUGAUCCGGUGUUUCCGUAUGGA